This 531-nucleotide ribosomal RNA is filed under the name uncultured bacterium. RNAcentral's name for it is "bacterial SSU rRNA". It matches the Rfam family "Bacterial small subunit ribosomal RNA", at positions 979 to 1509 of the family's 1533-position model. The record is from RNAcentral.
CCUUGACAUACUAAGAACUUUCCAGAGAUGGAUUGGUGCCUUCGGGAACUUAGAUACAGGUGCUGCAUGGCUGUCGUCAGCUCGUGUCGUGAGAUGUUGGGUUAAGUCCCGNAACGAGCGCAACCCUUUUCCUAUUUGCCAGCGGGUCAUGCCGGGAACUUUAAGGAUACUGCCAGUGACAAACUGGAGGAAGGCGGGGACGACGUCAAGUCAUCAUGGCCCUUACGGCCAGGGCUACACACGUGCUACAAUGGUCGGUACAAAGGGUUGCUACCUCGCGAGAGGAUGCUAAUCUCAAAAAGCCGAUCGUAGUCCGGAUCGCAGUCUGCAACUCGACUGCGUGAAGUCGGAAUCGCUAGUAAUCGCGGAUCAGAAUGCCGCGGUCGAAUACGUUCCCGGGCCUUGUACACACCGCCCGUCACACCAUGGGAGUUUGUUGCACCAGAAGUAGGUAGUCUAACCGCAAGGAGGACGCUUACCACGGUGUGGCCGAUGACUGGGGUGAAGUCGUAACAAGGUAAGCGUAGAUGA